RNAcentral lists this ribosomal RNA (301 nucleotides) under uncultured bacterium. RNAcentral's name for it is "partial 16S ribosomal RNA". It matches the Rfam family "Bacterial small subunit ribosomal RNA", at positions 509 to 807 of the family's 1533-position model. The record is from RNAcentral.
CAGCAGCCGCGGGAAUACGAGGGAUCCUAGCGUUGUUCGGAAUCAUUUGGCGUAAAGAGUAUGUAGGCGGCUUUGUAAGUCAGUUGUGAAAGCCCCGGGCUUAACCCGGGAAGUGCAAUUGAUACUGCUAAGCUUGAAUUUGGAAGAGGGUAGUGGAAUUCCUGGUGUAGUGGUGAAAUACGUAGAUAUCAGGAGGAACACCGGUGGCGAAGGCGGCUACCUGGUCCUAAAUUGACGCUGAGAUACGAAAGCAUGGGGAUCAAACAGGAUUAGAUACCCCAGUAGUCCCUGUCUCUUAUAC